Molecule: transfer RNA, 74 nt
Filed under: Medicago truncatula (barrel medic)
Lineage: Eukaryota; Viridiplantae; Streptophyta; Magnoliopsida; Fabales; Fabaceae
Description: tRNA gene20981
Rfam family: tRNA
About the family: Transfer RNA (tRNA) molecules are approximately 80 nucleotides in length. Their secondary structure includes four short double-helical elements and three loops (D, anti-codon, and T loops). Further hydrogen bonds mediate the characteristic L-shaped molecular structure. tRNAs have two regions of fundamental functional importance: the anti-codon, which is responsible for specific mRNA codon recognition, and the 3' end, to which the tRNAs corresponding amino acid is attached (by aminoacyl-tRNA synthetases). tRNAs cope with the degeneracy of the genetic code in two manners: having more than one tRNA (with a specific anti-codon) for a particular amino acid; and 'wobble' base-pairing, i.e. permitting non-standard base-pairing at the 3rd anti-codon position.
Source: RNAcentral
UGGGGAUGUAGCUCAAAUGGUAGAGCGCUUGCUUUGCAUGCAAGAGGUUCAGGGUUUGAUCCCCGCAUCUCCAA